GACGAACGCUGGCGGCGUGCUUAACACAUGCAAGUCGAACGGAGAGGCCCUGCUUUUGUGGGGUGCUCGAGUGGCGAACGGGUGAGUAACACGUGAGUAACCUGCCCUUGACUUUGGGAUAACUUCAGGAAACUGGGGCUAAUACCGGAUAGGAGCUCCUGCUGCAUGGUGGGGGUUGGAAAGUUUCGGCGGUUGGGGAUGGACUCGCGGCUUAUCAGCUUGUUGGUGGGGUAGUGGCUUACCAAGGCUUUGACGGGUAGCCGGCCUGAGAGGGUGACCGGCCACAUUGGGACUGAGAUACGGCCCAGACUCCUACGGGAGGCAGCAGUGGGGAAUAUUGCACAAUGGGCGGAAGCCUGAUGCAGCAACGCCGCGUGCGGGAUGACGGCCUUCGGGUUGUAAACCGCUUUCGCCUGUGACGAAGCGUGAGUGGCGGUAAUGGGUAAAGAAGCACCGGCUAACUACGUG
Molecule: ribosomal RNA, 468 nt
Filed under: uncultured bacterium
Lineage: Bacteria
Description: partial 16S ribosomal RNA
Rfam family: Bacterial small subunit ribosomal RNA
Source: RNAcentral